UACGUAGGGUGCAAGCGUUGUCCGGAUUUAUUGGGCGUAAAGAGCUCGUAGGCGGUCUGUCGCGUCGGAUGUGAAAACCCAGGGCUCAACCCUGGGCCUGCAUUCGAUACGGGCAGACUAGAGUAUGGCAGGGGAGACUGGAAUUCCUGGUGUAGCGGUGAAAUGCGCAGAUAUCAGGAGGAACACCGGUGGCGAAGGCGGGUCUCUGGGCCGUAACUGACGCUGAGGAGCGAAAGCGUGGGGAGCGAACAGG
RNAcentral lists this ribosomal RNA (253 nucleotides) under uncultured prokaryote. RNAcentral's name for it is "partial 16S ribosomal RNA". It matches the Rfam family "Bacterial small subunit ribosomal RNA", at positions 524 to 776 of the family's 1533-position model. The record is from RNAcentral.